Molecule: long non-coding RNA, 267 nt
Organism: Mauremys reevesii (Reeves's turtle)
Lineage: Eukaryota; Metazoa; Chordata; Testudines; Geoemydidae
Exons: 4
Source: RefSeq, a predicted model, not a curated record
GAGCUAAUUCCCGAAGUCACCAGCAGGAGGCGCCAGGUGAACACAUGAAACACUGACCAAAGGACAGAUCCUUGGGACCCACUAUUUUGCACCCAGCUCAACUAAGUCCAUGUAUCAGCCAGAAAACAAGGACAUUGGGCCUUAUUCUCAUUUACAAUAUGUUUAUGUGGUAUUUACACAGCAACACAAGGCUCAUGCUUGUAUAAUCACCACUUAUUUGAACCAGCCACAUGGAAAAUAAAUGGAUUAACUAAACUGGUAACAAGA